AGAACUUCUGUUGUCCAAAUGGGAGUGAGUUCCUGGCAGAGCAUUCUCUUCUGUUUCUCUUGCGUCAAAAAUGUGCUAUUUGUGCUGCUUGGGUAUAGCAACCACAGUGGUUUAAAAUGUUAAUGAUUUCCUAGUGGUAAUUAUUUCCCACCGACUCAGACGGAAGGACAGCGUGGAUGCCUGACAAAUACUUUACUGCCUUGUGGGCCGUGGAUCAAUGUCAGCUGGGGGAACCCUGCUCCAAAGAGUUCUGCACGUUGCUUCUCUUGACUGCUGCCAGCGUAACUGUCGUAUGACGUUUGCUUCUGGACUGCACAGUUAAGAUCAGUUCAUUGUUUUUCAUGUAUAAGUUAAAUCUUGGUUUACACAGAAAAUAAAGUGCUACAACAUGGCUUCUAAUCCAGAACUAUUAUAUGCGAUGUAUCCAGUUGUCUCCUGUUUUGCUAGUGGUUCUGUCAUUGGGGUGGCCGGCCCAGGCUGGGCGGACAUCUGUCCAUGGCCUUUUCCCUCUUUCUCUGUUCCUCUAGCAUCCUUAAAUAAUAUUAAAAAGAACUGCCUGGAUGUUUCAGCUGGAAUUUUAACUGUAAAUGCUAAUUUUGUGCUUUCCAGAAAUAGUGUGCAGAGCACUCUUUUUUUUCCAUAUCUGGAAGGGGAAAAAAGGUAAUACAAUUAAUAGAAAAUAGGGAAUGCAGAAGAAAAAACAGUGAUAUAAUCUGUCUUUUUAAGUUGUUAAUAUCCAUUUUUAUUACUUUUAUAUACUAAGAUGCAUUUCUUUAUUUAAAAACAUUUUAAAAAUAAAUCAAAUCAAGUUUU
Gallus gallus (chicken) is the source of this 813-nucleotide long non-coding RNA. The record is from Ensembl. Lineage: Eukaryota; Metazoa; Chordata; Aves; Galliformes; Phasianidae.